UGCAGUCGACGGUAACAGGAAGAGCUUGCUGCUUUGCUGACGAGUGGCGGACGGGUGAGUAAUGUCUGGGAAACUGCCUGAUGGAGGGGGAUAACUACUGGAAACGGUAGCUAAUACCGCAUAACGUCGCAAGACCAAGGAGGGGGACCUUCGGGCCUCUUGCCAUCGGAUGUGCCCAGAUGGCAUUAUCUUGUUGGUGGGGUAACGGCUCACCAAGGCGACGAUCCCUAGCUGGUCUGACAGGAUGACCAGCCACUCUGGAACUGAGACACGGUCCAGACUCCUACGGGAGGCAGCAGUGGGGAAUAUUGCACAAUGGGCGCAAGCCUGAUGCACCCAUGCCGCGUGUAUGAAGAAGGCCUUCGGGUUGUAAAGUACUUUCAGCGGGGAGGAAGGGAGUAAAGUUAAUACCUUUGCUCAUUGACGUUACCCGCAGAAGAAGCACCGGCUAACUCCGUGCCAGCAGCCGCGGUAAUACGGAGGGUGCAAGCGUUAAUCGGAAUUACUGGGCGUAUAGCGCACGCAGGCGGUUUGUUAAGUCAGAUGUGAAAUCCCCGGGCUCAACCUGGGAACUGCAUCUGAUACUGGCAAGCUUGAGUCUCGUAGAGGGGGGGUAGAAUUCCAGGUGUAGCGUGGAAAUGCGUGAGAUCUGGAGGAAUACCGGUGGCGAAGGCGGCGCACCUGGACUAACACUGAUGCUCAUGUGCCGAGAGCGUGCGAGA
Molecule: ribosomal RNA, 722 nt
Filed under: Escherichia coli
Lineage: Bacteria; Pseudomonadati; Pseudomonadota; Gammaproteobacteria; Enterobacterales; Enterobacteriaceae
Description: bacterial SSU rRNA
Rfam family: Bacterial small subunit ribosomal RNA
Source: RNAcentral